Molecule: ribosomal RNA, 91 nt
Filed under: Coscinasterias acutispina
Lineage: Eukaryota; Metazoa; Echinodermata; Asteroidea; Forcipulatida; Asteriidae
Description: partial 16S ribosomal RNA
Source: RNAcentral
GGACCAGAAAAGUAGUACCAAUUUUUUAAAAAAAGUACUAAAAAAAGUUUUGAAAAAAAAAUGAAAAUUUUCCCUAAAAAAUUUUAUUUUU